RNAcentral lists this transfer RNA (36 nucleotides) under Bartramia mossmaniana. RNAcentral describes it as "partial tRNA-Thr". RNAcentral also lists the same sequence under 2 other names. The record is from RNAcentral. Lineage: Eukaryota; Viridiplantae; Streptophyta; Bryopsida; Bartramiales; Bartramiaceae.
AGCCCGCUAUCGGAGUCGAACCGAUGACCAUCGCAU